UCAUUUUCCAAUUUUCUCUCUCAUCUACCUUCUCUCGUCUCUCUUCCUUUUUCUAUCAUCGUCGAAAAUUAUUUCAAUGUUGGCUCUAGUGAGCCCACCUCCAACAUUCGAGCCAGUCAGCUUACCACUGUCGACUGCUCUAGUCCACUAUCCACCGUCUCCAGUUUUCGAGGCAUCAACAUCACCAGAUCUGGCUUCUACGCACCAAAGUGAGACUUCGGCUAAGGCUCUGUCUCAGAGCAAGAGGCACACUUCACCUUCAUAUGCUUUAGCUCCGAAGCUUAUGAGCCCACCCGCAACUCCAACGGAAGCCCCCAAACCUAGGCCGAUUCUAUUCAGUCAGUGGACUUUUACCUAGUUUCAUCAAGAGAGCCACACAGAUAGUGCUUUCGGAGCAAUGCCAACGAAAUUGGCUUUAUCAAGUGUUGUUGAGCUGUGAAUGUUUGAAUUUCUGCCACUGGAAGGAGGGCUUUCCUUACUGGGAUGUUUUUGGAUCUCUAAAAGCAUAUUUUUUUAUUACAAAAAAAUGGGUUGUAAUUGAUAAAGAUUAUUCUAACCAUCACAAAAAAAAUGGUAUGGCUUACUAUUUUCGGUUAUGGUGAUGAUAAGUUGUGAUGAUGGUCUGUAGUGUGUUCAAUUUAUUUGUAGUGACCUUCUGUGAUCAAAUCUGUGUUAAUUGUGAUUAGGUAUGACCAAGCUUGUGUUAAUUGUGACUGAAUGUAAUUGUUUACGUUGUGGUGUUA
Long non-coding RNA from Olea europaea var. sylvestris, 743 nucleotides. RefSeq lists it as uncharacterized. The record is from RefSeq and is a predicted model, not a curated record. NCBI's taxonomy places the organism in Eukaryota, Viridiplantae, Streptophyta, Magnoliopsida, Lamiales, Oleaceae. The transcript has 2 exons.